GGCAAUCUAUUUUGAAUAGUCGUUGAUCAACUGUGUUAGUUUUUUUGGAGCCUCAUCCGAGAUGUUGAACUCUUUAAAUGGGUAAUUCUUCUGCUCUCCCAAACUGAUAGUCUCCACUUUUUCUUCAUCUUUAGAAGCAGUUGAUAGAUUAUCAACUGUGAUACUAUACUCUUCGACAGUAGCUGUGACAUCCACCUAGAAAACAAGAAUUGUCAAUGCUAAGUAGAGAUAUACAAUAGAUUUUCCAUCUGUUGCAAUAGAUGAGUCUUAUAUUGCAUUAGAUGGAUUAUCUAUUGGAACAAAUUCGAACAGGUAAAUUAGAACAGUAUGAUAAUUUUGAACAGAUGACCCAUCUGUUGUAAUAUAUGACUCAUCUGUUGAAACAGAUAACGAAUUUGAUGCAACAGGUUAGACAAUAGUUCCAACAGAUGUAUAUAUCUGUUUGAUAAUUUCCAGAUCUGUUGAAACAAAUAUGUGCCUGUUUGUUUUUUGGAAUAGAUGAUGUACAUUCACCUUCUUCAGCUCAUGCUGCUCUUCUG
RNAcentral lists this long non-coding RNA (539 nucleotides) under Capsicum annuum. RNAcentral describes it as "long non-coding RNA (CANN_LNC007216)". Lineage: Eukaryota; Viridiplantae; Streptophyta; Magnoliopsida; Solanales; Solanaceae. The record is from RNAcentral.